RNAcentral lists this ribosomal RNA (253 nucleotides) under uncultured bacterium. Its description in RNAcentral is "partial 16S ribosomal RNA". It matches the Rfam family "Bacterial small subunit ribosomal RNA", at positions 524 to 776 of the family's 1533-position model. The record is from RNAcentral.
GACGGACCACACGAACGUUAUUCGGAAUUACUGGGCUUAAAGGGUGCGUAGGCUGUGCAGAAAGUUGGGUGUGAAAUCCCUCGGCUUAACCGAGGAAUUGCGCCCAAAACUACUGUGCUUGAGGAAGAUAGAGGUAAGCGGAACUUAGGGUGGAGCGGUGAAAUGCGUUGAUAUCCUAAGGAACACCGGUGGCGAAGGCGGGUCUCUGGGCCGUAACUGACGCUGAGGAGCGAAAGCAUGGGGAGCGAACAGG